CACCUGAAUCCAUCCCGAACUCAGUAGUGAAACGCAGCCUCGCCGAUGGUAGUGUGGGGUCUCCCCAUGUGAGAGUAGGUCAUCGCCAGAC
This 91-nucleotide ribosomal RNA is filed under the name Shewanella sp. OPT22. The record is from RNAcentral. Lineage: Bacteria; Pseudomonadati; Pseudomonadota; Gammaproteobacteria; Alteromonadales; Shewanellaceae.